Molecule: ribosomal RNA, 626 nt
Filed under: uncultured Actinomycetes bacterium
Lineage: Bacteria; Bacillati; Actinomycetota; Actinomycetes
Description: bacterial SSU rRNA
Rfam family: Bacterial small subunit ribosomal RNA
Source: RNAcentral
CCACGGUCUCUGCGACGCAGCUAACGCAUUAAGUGCCCCGCCUGGGGAGUACGAUCGCAAGAUUAAAACUCAAAGGAAUUGACGGGGCCCCGCACAAGCAGCGGAGCAUGCGGCUUAAUUCGACGCAACGCGAAGAACCUUACCAAGGCUUGACAUAUACAGGAAUAUGGCAGAGAUGUCAUAGCCGCAAGGUCUGUAUACAGGUGGUGCAUGGUUGUCGUCAGCUCGUGUCGUGAGAUGUUGGGUUAAGUCCCGCAACGAGCGCAACCCUCGUUCUGUGUUGCCAGCAUUUAGUUGGGGACUCACAGGAGACUGCCGGGGUUAACUCGGAGGAAGGUGGGGAUGACGUCAAAUCAUCAUGCCCCUUAUGUCUUGGGCUGCACGCAUGCUACAAUGGCUGGUACAAACGGCUGCAAUACCGCAAGGUGGAGCGAAUCCGAGAAAGCCAGUCUCAGUUCGGAUUGGGGUCUGCAACUCGACCCCAUGAAGUCGGAGUUGCUAGUAAUCGUAGAUCAGCAACGCUACGGUGAAUACGUUCCCGGGGCUUGUACACACCGCCCGUCACGUCACGAAAGUCGGUAACACCCGAAGUCAGUGGCCCAACCGCAAGGAGGGAGCUGCCGAAG